This is a long non-coding RNA of Cannabis sativa, 397 nucleotides long. RefSeq lists it as uncharacterized. The record is from RefSeq and is a predicted model, not a curated record. Lineage: Eukaryota; Viridiplantae; Streptophyta; Magnoliopsida; Rosales; Cannabaceae. The transcript has 3 exons.
AGAACCUCCAUCAAAAGGAUUAAGAUGAGCAACACGAUCAACUAAGAUUCUUUCUGCUUCUACUGUAUAUGAAAGAGGUCCAACAAAAAAAAAAGUGUAUCGAGUGCUUUGUGUUGAUUGAAGAGUACACAAGUAGCUAACUUUAUCGGAGAAAGAAGUUGCAAAAUGGAUAGAAAUUGGAUGAGUGCGAAUAGAUUAUCAGCAGAGUAUAAGGAAGGUGUUGACUUUUUUUUGGAUUUUUGUCAUAAGCACGCAAAAAAUCCAAAGUUGAUUCUUUGUCCUUGUCUUAAAUGUGGUAACAUGGAGCGUAUGAAUACUAGUAAAAUAAAGGAGCAUUUAUUUAGGAACGGAAUAGACAAGAGUUAUAAGGUUUGGUGUUACCACGGGGAAAAUAUUA